This 498-nucleotide ribosomal RNA is filed under the name uncultured bacterium. Its description in RNAcentral is "partial 16S ribosomal RNA". It matches the Rfam family "Bacterial small subunit ribosomal RNA", at positions 28 to 508 of the family's 1533-position model. The record is from RNAcentral.
GAUGAACGCUGGCGGCGUGCCUAAUACAUGCAAGUCGAGCGAACAGACGAGGAGCUUGCUCCUCUGACGUUAGCGGCGGACGGGUGAGUAACACGUGGAUAACCUACCUAUAAGACUGGGAUAACUUCGGGAAACCGGAGCUAAUACCGGAUAAUAUAUUGAACCGCAUGGUUCAAUAGUGAAAGACGGUUUUGCUGUCACUUAUAGAUGGAUCCGCGCCGCAUUAGCUAGUUGGUAAGGUAACGGCUUACCAAGGCGACGAUGCGUAGCCGACCUGAGAGGGUGAUCGGCCACACUGGAACUGAGACACGGUCCAGACUCCUACGGGAGGCAGCAGUAGGGAAUCUUCCGCAAUGGGCGAAAGCCUGACGGAGCAACGCCGCGUGAGUGAUGAAGGGCUUCGGAUCGUAAAACUCGGUUAUUAGGGAAGAACAAAUGUGUAAGUAACUAUGCACGUCUUGACGGUACCUAAUCAGAAAGCCACGGCUAACUACGUGC